RNAcentral lists this ribosomal RNA (433 nucleotides) under uncultured bacterium. RNAcentral's name for it is "bacterial SSU rRNA". It matches the Rfam family "Bacterial small subunit ribosomal RNA", at positions 27 to 507 of the family's 1533-position model. The record is from RNAcentral.
CGAACGAACGCUGGCGGCAGGCUUAACACAUGCAAGUCGAACGCCCCGCAAGGGGAGUGGCAGACGGGUGAGUAACGCGUGGGAAUCUACCCAGUUCUACGGAACAACUGAGGGAAACUUCAGCUAAUACCGUAUACGCCCUACGGGGGAAAGAUUUAUCGGAAUUGGAUGAGCCCGCGUUGGAUUAGCUAGUUGGUGAGGUAACGGCUCACCAAGGCGACGAUCCAUAGCUGGUCUGAGAGGAUGAUCAGCCACACUGGGACUGAGACACGGCCCAGACUCCUACGGGAGGCAGCAGUGGGGAAUAUUGGACAAUGGGCGCAAGCCUGAUCCAGCCAUGCCGCGUGAGUGAUGAAGGCCUUAGGGUUGUAAAGCUCUUUCAGUGGGGACGAUAAUGACGGUACCCACAGAAGAAGCCCCGGCUAACUUCGUG